RNAcentral lists this ribosomal RNA (301 nucleotides) under uncultured bacterium. RNAcentral's name for it is "partial 16S ribosomal RNA". It matches the Rfam family "Bacterial small subunit ribosomal RNA", at positions 509 to 807 of the family's 1533-position model. The record is from RNAcentral.
CAGUAGCCGCGGGAAUACGAAGGGUGCAAGCGUUAAUUGGAAUUACUGGGCGUAAAGGGUGCGUAGGCGGUUUGAUAAGUCUUGUGUGAAAUCUAUGGGCUCAACCCAUAGUCUGCACAAGAAACUGUCGGGCUUGAGAGUGGGAGAAGUGAGUGGAAUUCCGAGUGUAGAGGUGAAAUUCGUAGAUAUUCGGAAGAACACCAGUGGCGAAGGCGGCUCACUGGACUGGUAUUGACGCUGAGGUGCGAAAGCGUGGGGAGCAAACCGGAUUAGAUACCCGUGUAGUCCCUGUCUCUUAUAC